CUACGGGACGCUCCAGUGAGGAAUAUUGCACAAUGGGGGGAACCCUGAUGCAGCAACGCCGCGUGGAGGAUGACGCAUUUCGGUGUGUAAACUCCUUUUAUAUGUCAAGAAAAUGACGGUAGCAUAUGAAUAAGCACCGGCUAACUCCGUGCCAGCAGCCGCGGUAAUACGGAGGGUGCAAGCGUUACUCGGAAUCACUGGGCGUAAAGGACGCGUAGGCGGGUUGGAAAGUCAGGUGUGAAAUCCUACAGCUUAACUGUAGAACUGCACUUGAAACUUAUAAUCUAGAGUAUGGGAGGGGGAGAUGGAAUUCGUGGUGUAGGGGUAAAAUCCGUAGAUAUCACUAGGAAUACCUAAAGCGAAGGCGAUCUCCUGGAACAUUACUGACGCUAAGGCGUGAAAGCGUGGGGAGCAAACAGGAUUAGAUACCCUAGUAGUC
RNAcentral lists this ribosomal RNA (439 nucleotides) under uncultured bacterium. RNAcentral's name for it is "partial 16S ribosomal RNA". It matches the Rfam family "Bacterial small subunit ribosomal RNA", at positions 339 to 795 of the family's 1533-position model. The record is from RNAcentral.